AUUGAACGCUGGCGGCAUGCCUUACACAUGCAAGUCGAACGGCAGCACGGGAGCAAUCCUGGUGGCGAGUGGCGAACGGGUGAGUAAUAUAUGGGAACGUGCCCAGUCGUGGGGGAUAACGCAGCGAAAGCUGUGCCAAGACCGCAUACGAUCUACGGAUGAAAGCGGGGAAUCGCAAGACCUCGCGCGAUGGGAGCGGCCGGUAUCAGAUUAGCUAGUUGGUGAGGUAAAGGCUCACCAAGGCGACGAUCUGUAGCUGGUCUGAGAGGGGGACCAGCCACACUGGAACUGAGACACGGUCCAGACUCCUACGGGAGGCAGCAGUGGGGAAUUUUGGACAAUGGGCGAAAGCCUGAUCCAGCAAUGCCGCGUGCAGGAUGAAGGCCUUCGGGUUGUAAACUGCUUUUGUACGGAACGAAACGGUGAGCUCUAAUACAGUUUGCUAAUGACGGUACCGUAAGAAUAAGCACCGGCUAACUACGUGCCAGCCGCCGCCGUAA
RNAcentral lists this ribosomal RNA (500 nucleotides) under uncultured bacterium. Its description in RNAcentral is "partial 16S ribosomal RNA". It matches the Rfam family "Bacterial small subunit ribosomal RNA", at positions 30 to 523 of the family's 1533-position model. The record is from RNAcentral.